This 2237-nucleotide long non-coding RNA is filed under the name Mus caroli (Ryukyu mouse). Its description in RNAcentral is "lncRNA (MGP_CAROLIEiJ_G0002389.1)". The record is from RNAcentral. Lineage: Eukaryota; Metazoa; Chordata; Mammalia; Rodentia; Muridae.
CAGUUGGGGACAGCAGCAACAGCGACAGGGAGAGCAAAGGCAGCAGCGGAGGCGGCGGUGAAGGCCGAGUCCUAGGCGCCCGCCCACGGAUCAUAGCCCUAGGAAAACUUAUAGAUUCCAUCCAAACUGAUAAAAAUCAGAUUUGAUAGAGGAAGACCCUCUGAAGAUCUUGACUGCAGACAGGAAGAAAGAAAUCAAGAAGACCAAAUAGGAUAGAAUGGAAGGCCAGAAGAACAGCCCUGACAGGAUUCACUUUCGAGGAUGCUGGGAUGCUGAAACCUGCUGUUCCAGCUCCCUGAUCAAUAUUGCCUCAAACUGAUGCUGUUCCAGAGACUUGCUUCCAGAACAGCUUCAGAAAGGGCUGCUAAUCCCAGAUGACCUUGUUUCAUCCAGUCUUUCAGAUUGUUCUAAUCGGGACUUCAGUUAAGCCCUGAACUUUCUCCAUUCAAGACUUCAGUUAAUCAACCUAUAGAGACUGGACAACAAUAAUGCCAGCUAGCUUUCUUUUGACUUAACCAUUUUUCCAGUUUUCUCUUGGGCCCCCAAACUGGAACUCUUUUCCCCAAUUCAGCAAGAAGAAACUAUAAGAAGACUGUCAUCCCAAUCACUUAAGUUGGGGUGGAUAGUUUUGAUCAUUUUAUGAAUUAUAGAUAUAUUGUCAUUUUAAGGGAUGAUUACAAAUAAUAAUGGUCUUAGACAGGGAGGAAAUUAAAUAGGGAACUUAGGCUCAGAGAUCUCUAUACCUCUUUUCCUUUUCUCUAUCCUUCUUUCUUAUAUAAGGUAAGGAGGUUGAGAAGAAAAAGGGGGCAUAUAGAAAUAUUAUAAGAAAUUAGACAAAUAGGGGUAGAUUAUUAAAUCUAUUCUUAAAUAAAAACAUUUUACAGUUAGAUACUAACUUAAUUAAUUAUAAUAAAAUGUUUUUAAGGUUAUUCAGAUAGUUAAUAGCUAAGAAUAACCAAUGUUUAGUUGGUCUUCAAAAACCUCAGAGAUAUACAGAGUAUGGCAUUAAAAAUUAUUUCAUUAUUAAAAGAUCUUAUGACUAUGAGACAGGUCUGUUCCUGACAGUAUCCCCAUUCCACUUCAGUGAAGGUGAUGAGCAUCAAUAAUAACCUCCAUAUGGAGUUGCUCCAAUUGUAGCAAGUUAGCCACUGGGCAUAGAAAAUUCCCAUGCUUCAACUACAGACAAAUCUGUUCAGAAAGGACAAAUACAUCAUGAAGAGCCAACCAAGCUCUGCCAAGAAAGGAAUCUAAAUUUUCUUAUGGAGCCUGGUAGGCUUAUUGUGAAACUUUCCUUCUACACAGCCCAGGCAGAACAGAGUGUUGAAAGCCUCUGAAUGAAAUCCUCUAGAAUCCAGUCUAAAAGAGAGUUCUUCUCAUAGUACCUCAAUGCAAAUUUCUUAUCAGUAAUUCCUGGGUUUUCUAUUGCACUGAAGGCACAGGAUGAUCACCCGUAUGAUACUGCCCUAGUCUGAGAACUGGUCCACUCUUGCAUAGAAAACAUGCACCAAAAUUCAGAUAGUUGGAGACCCGGGGAAGAUUAAUGACUUUCAGACACUCUAAUGACUUGGGAUCUGGGUGAAACUUGGAAUUUUGUUUGAAAGUAAAGACAAGCUAUUGGAAAGCACAUCUAUUAUUCUUCAUGAAUAUUUAACCUCAACUCGAAGUUUCCCUUCGCCAUCUUGAACUGCUUCAUUGGCUAUUCCCUAAAAUUCAUCUUCCAAAGGCAACCAUCACUUAGAUUCUAACUGUUGCCUACCACUUGUGCUGAUCUGUUCCUGGGGGAGGCAGACACUGUUGUCCAAAUAGAAUGCGUUCCUGACCUUGUCCUAAAAAGGCCCACACUAGCAGAUGGUUUGGAAGCAUUGCUGACAGUAGCUAAAAUGCUUAUCCCUCACAGAAAAAUGGGAAGUAUUAUCCAAAUAUAACUGAGCAAAUUUCUCUGAAAUAUUGAUGAAAAUACAGUCAUGUUUCAACUUCUAAGAAAAAAAUAGAAGAAAUGAACCCUGGCUUACUGAAAGGCACAAUUUCAAUGUACUAAUCAGAAGGAUGUUGGUUAUUGUUUUCAAUUCAAAAUACUCGAAUACUUUAACAUUGUUUAAUAGGCUUUUCUUUCAGAGAUUAAUUGGCUGAAAAAAUGUCCUUUCAAAACUUAGUUGCAGUUUAUAAUAACUAAAUUUCAGAAGAACAAGUGACUUUUCUUGAAAAUGAAUAAACAAUAAUUAUGAUUUUUUAAAAUU